This 504-nucleotide ribosomal RNA is filed under the name uncultured bacterium. RNAcentral describes it as "partial 16S ribosomal RNA". It matches the Rfam family "Bacterial small subunit ribosomal RNA", at positions 30 to 523 of the family's 1533-position model. The record is from RNAcentral.
AUUGAACGCUGGCGGCAUGCCUUACACAUGCAAGUCGAACGGCAGCAUGGAGAGCUUGCUCUCUGAUGGCGAGUGGCGAACGGGUGAGUAAUGCAUCGGAACGUACCGUGUAAUGGGGGAUAACGUAGCGAAAGUUACGCUAAUACCGCAUACGACCUGAGGGUGAAAGCAGGGGAUCGCAAGACCUUGCGUUAUACGAGCGGCCGAUGUCAGAUUAGCUAGUUGGUGAGGUAAAGGCUCACCAAGGCGACGAUCUGUAGCGGGUCUGAGAGGAUGAUCCGCCAUACUGGGACUGAGACACGGCCCAGACUCCUACGGGAGGCAGCAGUGGGGAAUUUUGGACAAUGGGGGCAACCCUGAUCCAGCCAUGCCGCGUGAGUGAAGAAGGCCUUCGGGUUGUAAAGCUCUUCCGGCCGGGAAGAAAUCGCACAGGCUAAUACUCUGUGUGGAUGACGGUACCGGCAUAAGAAGCACCGGCUAACUACGUGCCAGCAGCCGCCGUAA